GCGUUGUUCGGAAUUAUUGGGCGUAAAGCGCGUGUAGGCGGCUUUGCAAGUCGGGUGUGAAAGCCCUCGGCUCAACCGAGGAAGUGCGCCCGAAACUGCAGAGCUUGAGUACCGGAGAGGGUGGCGGAAUUCCCCAAGUAGAGGUGAAAUUCGUAGAUAUGGGGAGGAACACCGGUGGCGAAGGCGGCCACCUGGACGGAUACUGACGCUGAGACGCGAAAGCGUG
This 226-nucleotide ribosomal RNA is filed under the name uncultured bacterium. RNAcentral's name for it is "partial 16S ribosomal RNA". It matches the Rfam family "Bacterial small subunit ribosomal RNA", at positions 538 to 763 of the family's 1533-position model. The record is from RNAcentral.